UUGAAAAGGCCUUCUUAAAAACGUCAUUCCUAGGCCCGCGAUCUGCAUUCCGUCGAGGGAAAGACAUUCACGCCGUCGCUCUCUCUGCCCUUCGCCUUCCUCCCGGACGGAUCCCUCCACCCUCUCGUAGAUGUAGCCACAAGAACAAUCUCCACUUCUCCAAUCCUUCUGCAACUUCUCCCGCCCGGUCUCCACUUCUCCAAAGCUUCACUUAGACGAUGUCAGCCUCGUUAUUGUCCUUCUCGACGCCAAUCCUUUCUUUUGGGCCGCCGGCACCGGUUCUGAAGGUGGAAACAACCCCGCCGCCGCGCUCACCUUUGCAAAAUUUCUAAAUCAUGUCAGGUGAUUUCGUUUUUAAAUUCUCUUCUGAUUAUGAAUCAGCUGAACCAAGUGGUUCUCAACGCGACCAUCCAAACUGCAGCAUCAAUUCCCUCACUUGAGCAGCCACUGUUGCCUGCUACUGGUUUGUUUGGGAUGCAUCUUUGUUUGUUGAAUAAUUGAACAGAUUUGCUGUGGUGAUAUUUCCUUUUGUUUUUUGGUUUUAAUUUAUCAAAUGCUAAGAAUUCUAUUGGGGCUCUGUGGAGUUCUUUUUUACUGAAGUUCUUAUUCUCCUUCUAGUAUUAGCAUGAGGAUGAAAAAAAGCAAUUAAAUCAGAACUCUAUUAUGAG
This is a long non-coding RNA of Phalaenopsis equestris, 668 nucleotides long. RefSeq lists it as uncharacterized. The transcript is spliced from 3 exons. The record is from RefSeq and is a predicted model, not a curated record. Lineage: Eukaryota; Viridiplantae; Streptophyta; Magnoliopsida; Asparagales; Orchidaceae.